UAAUACCGGAUAGAUCAAAGAUACUGGAAUGUUCUCUGGUCCAAAACUCCGGUGCCCAAGGAUGGGUCUGCGGCCUAUCAGGUUGUAGUGGGUGUAACGUACCUACUAGCCUACGACGGGUAAGGGUUGUGAGAGCAAGAUCCCUGAGAUGGAUUCUGAGACAUGAAUCCAGGCCCUACGGGGUGCAGCAGGCGCGAAACCUUUACACUGCGGGAAACCGCGAUAAGGGGACCCCGAGUGCCAGCACCUAGUGUUGGCUGUCCGGCUGUCCAAAUAACAGUUGUUAGCAAGGGCCGGGCAAGACCGGUGCCAGCCGCCGCGGUAACACCGGCGGCCCGAGUGGUAGCCGCUAUUAUUGGGUUUAAAGGGCCCGUAGCCGGCCUAUUAAGUCUCUUGGGAAAUCUGGCGGCUCAAUCGUCAGGCGUUC
Molecule: ribosomal RNA, 427 nt
Filed under: uncultured archaeon
Lineage: Archaea
Description: bacterial SSU rRNA
Rfam family: Archaeal small subunit ribosomal RNA
Source: RNAcentral